GACGAACGCUGGCGGCGUGCUUAACACAUGCAAGUCGAACGGAAAGGCCCUGCUUUUGUGGGGUGCUCGAGUGGCGAACGGGUGAGUAACACGUGAGUAACCUGCCCUUGACUUUGGGAUAACUUCAGGAAACUGGGGCUAAUACCGGAUAGGAGCUCCUGCCGCAUGGUGGGGGUUGGAAAGUUUCGGCGGUUGGGGAUGGACUCGCGGCUUAUCAGCUUGUUGGUGGGGUAGUGGCUUACCAAGGCUUUGACGGGUAGCCGGCCUGGGAGGGUGACCGGCCACAUUGGGACUGAGAUACGGCCCAGACUCCUACGGGAGGCAGCAGUGGGGAAUAUUGCACAAUGGGCGGAAGCCUGAUGCAGCAACGCCGCGUGCGGGAUGACGGCCUUCGGGUUGUAAUCCGCUUUCGCCUGUGACGAAGCGUGAGUGGCGGUAAUGGGUAAAGAAGCACCGGCUAACUACGUG
RNAcentral lists this ribosomal RNA (468 nucleotides) under uncultured bacterium. RNAcentral describes it as "partial 16S ribosomal RNA". It matches the Rfam family "Bacterial small subunit ribosomal RNA", at positions 28 to 507 of the family's 1533-position model. The record is from RNAcentral.